Molecule: unclassified non-coding RNA, 380 nt
Filed under: uncultured bacterium
Lineage: Bacteria
Description: contains 16S-23S intergenic spacer region
Source: RNAcentral
UCCGGCUUAUCACCGGCAGUCCCUUUAGAGUGCCCAACUAAAUGAUGGCAACUAAAGGCGAGGGUUGCGCUCGUUGCGGGACUUAACCCAACAUCUCACGACACGAGCUGACGACAGCCAUGCAGCACCUGUGUAGGCUGGUAUUGCUACCUCGUCCCGCUUUCACGGUUCUACUACCUACAUGUCAAGGCCAGGUAAGGUUCUUCGCGUUGCAUCGAAUUAAGCCACAUACUCCACCGCUUGUGCAGGCCCCCGUCAAUUCCUUUGAGUUUCAACCUUGCGGUCGUACUCCCCAGGCGGGGUACUUCCUGCGUUAGCGCCGGCACCCAGGGGGUCGCUCCCCCAAGCACCUAGUGCCCAUCGUUUACAGCGUGGACUAC